Molecule: ribosomal RNA, 530 nt
Filed under: Leuconostoc mesenteroides
Lineage: Bacteria; Bacillati; Bacillota; Bacilli; Lactobacillales; Lactobacillaceae
Description: bacterial SSU rRNA
Rfam family: Bacterial small subunit ribosomal RNA
Source: RNAcentral
UGAGUGGCGAACGGGUGAGUAACACGUGGACAACCUGCCUCAAGGCUGGGGAUAACAUUUGGAAACAGAUGCUAAUACCGAAUAAAACUUAGUGUCGCAUGACACAAAGUUAAAAGGCGCUUCGGCGUCACCUAGAGAUGAUCCGCGGUGCAUUAGUUAGUUGGUGGGGUAAAGGCCUACCAAGACAAUGAUGCAUAGCCGAGUUGAGAGACUGAUCGGCCACAUUGGGACUGAGACACGGCCCAAACUCCUACGGGAGGCUGCAGUAGGGAAUCUUCCACAAUGGGCGAAAGCCUGAUGGAGCAACGCCGCGUGUGUGAUGAAGGCUUUCGGGUCGUAAAGCACUGUUGUAUGGGAAGAACAGCUAGAAUAGGAAAUGAUUUUAGUUUGACGGUACCAUACCAGAAAGGGACGGCUAAGUACGUGCCAGCAGCCGCGGUAAUACGUAUGUCCCGAGCGUUAUCCGGAUUUAUUGGGCGUAAAGCGAGCGCAGACGGUUUAUUAAGUCUGAUGUGAAAGCCCGGAGCUCA